GGGAAAGAAAGGAAACAGGGGAGACGAGAGACUGAGAAACAGGGAAAGGGGGAGUAAGAGAGCACGAGAUGCAGAGGGAAGAGGGGAAGGGGGGAGUAGCGCCGGUGGGUGUCUCUGCCACCGUGGCUGCUGUUGCUGUCGAAUAGAAGAGGGAGGGAGGCUGUCGCACUUCUAGCUGCCGCUGAAGCUCCCCUCACCACUGUCAACGUUGGUUAGGGCAGAGGAGAAGAGGAAGAAUAACGGAGAAGAGAGACUGACGGGGAGGGUAAUACGGUUGUUGUUAAUUUGGAGCUGCUACAAGAACGGCGCUUCCUGCUUCUAAUCUCUGUCCUUUUGAUUUUUGGAGCUGCCGUGGAUGGAGCUUGUAAUCAGAGAAAGCAAGCUGCCGCCACCAACUCUUAAUUCAGCCAGUGUCUUCCUCCUUGUUCUGAUUUCAAUUUUCCUAUUUUUGAAACCCCCCUUUCUGGCACCUAUUUCCUGUUACAAUUAGGUCGAGUAUUGAAGCUGGUGCUGCCAUGGGACGGUUGAAGCUGUUACUGAUUCUGAUUUUGCUAUCUCGUUCUUGCUUUGUCUUGAAUCCUUAGAGCUGAAAUUGCUUUGGAUUCCUCUUCCAAUUUGAAUCCUCUAUCUUACUGCAACCAUGGUCAGUGCUGCGAAGGCUAAUAUUGUUGCUGUUCCGGUUGCGUGAGAGUUACCGCUGCUGCCCUGAAACCAAAAGAGAAGAGAGUUGUUACGUUAAAGUAUGCGAUUGCGACAUCGAGUGACACAGGUUUGAAGACGCAAUUUGAAGCUGCGAGCGAUUAGUAGGUUUUCUUUAUGGUUUUAAUUGGUCUGGUAGAAUCCCUUCGCCGAUUGUCCCUCGAGAUUUUAUUUCAUAUAGAGAGGAUUCUAAACCAAGAUUAAUCAGAUGGGUGUUACUCCUUCAAGAGUUUGUUAUUGAGAUAAAAGACAGGAAAGGGUCAGAAAAUCAAGUAGCUGACCAUCUCUCCAGAAUUAAGCCUGAAGCAGGAGUACAACCACCUACAGGUGUGAUUGAGACGUUUUUGGAUGAGCAAUUGUUCCUCAUUCAGCAGGCUCCAUGGUUUGCAGACAUUGCAAAUUACAAGGCCAUGAGUUUUAUCCCAAAGGAGUACAGUAAGCAACAAGUAAAGAAGCUAUUGACUGAUGCGAAGUACUACUUUUGGGAGGAACUAUACCUUUGUAAAAGGUGUUCAGAUGGUAUCAUCCGGAGAUGUGUCCCAAAUGAAGAAACACAGCAGAUUCUUUGGCAUUGUCAUGGUUCUGAUUAUGGAGGACACUUUGGUGGUGAAUGGACAGCUACAAAAGUCCUUCAGAGCGGGUUUUACUGGCCGACUCUCUUCAGGGACGCAAGAGCAUUUGUGAAGCACUGUGACAGAUGUGAAAAAGUCACGAAUCUCCCUGCUAACCAUGAAAUGCCACAAUAGGGGAUUCUUGAUGUUGAGUUGUUUGAUGUGUGGGUUAUUGAUUUCAUGGGACCUUUUCCACCCUCACAUUCAGACAACUAUAUUCUUGUGGCAGUUGACUAUGUGUCCAAGUGGGUGGAGGCGGUGGCUCUACCCACCAACGAUGCCAAGGUGGUAAUGAAUUUUCUUCAGAGAUAUAUCUUUAGCCGGUUUGGUGUCCCAAGGACACUCAUUAGUGAUGGAGGAAGCCACUUCUGUAACAGACAGCUGGACUCUCUUCUGUAGAGAUAUGGAGUCCGUCAUAAAGUGGCAACCCCUUAUCACCCCUCAGACAAGCGGACAGGUUGAUGUUUCCAAUAGGGAACUCAAGAGGAUUCUAGAGAAGACCGUCAGUGUUUCAAGAAAGGACUAGUCUAGGAAGCUUGAUGAUGCUUUCUGGGCAUACCGGACAGCGUACAAGACUCCCAUUGGCAUGUCCCCUUAUCAGUUGGUCUAUGGCAAAGCUUGUCACUUGCCAGUUGAGCUAGAGUAUAAAGCUUACCGGGCAAUCAGGUAUCUAAAUCUUGAUUCAGAAGCUGCAGGAAUUAAGCGAAUGCUUCAGUUGAAUGAGCUUGGUGAAUUCAGAUACUCAGCCUAUGAGACUACCAAGCUCUAUAAGGAGAGAACCAAGUUAUUGCAUGACAAGAAGACUGCCAUCAGAGUUAUUGAGCUAGGCCAGAGAGUGCUUCUGUAUAAUUCAAGUCUCAAAUUCUUUUCCGGGAAGCUGAAAUCCUGGUGGUCAGGACCGUUUGUGGUUACCAGAGCUUCACCAUAUGGUCAUGUGGAAAUAUAGGAAGAGAAUUUUGACAGGAAAUUUACUGUGAAUGGCCAUCGGUUGAAGCACUAUCUUGGAGGCGAGAUCGAUCGUCAGUGGUUUCCUCAUCUGCUAAAUUAGCAGAACUGACCAUCAAGCUAAUGACGUUAAAGAAGCACUUGUCAGGAGGCAACCCGAUAAUUUCGUAUCCUUAGUUAUUUUUCACAGUAGUAGCUUUCUUAUUUAUUUGAUUUUUAUUGAGUCUUCACUAUUUUUCCUUCGUUUUACAUGUGUUCUGAUCAUGCAGCUAUUUUAGAGCAGAAUCCAACAACUUCAAAAAAAAAAAAAGAAGAGAACAGAAGAAGAAGAAAAUUCACCCGAGAGAUAGGCCGGAGUGGUGCUGGAAGCGUUCCUUGUGCACAAGCAAGACCACGCUUCUUCUUUGCUUGAGGACAAGCAAACCUUUAAGUUUGGUGUUGACGCUUCGCUUAUGGCUUCUUUGUUUAGCACCAAAGGGAGAUGAAUGCUUUUCAUGGAGGAAUGAGAUGGCCACCAGCAUAACUGAGGUGGUUGAGUUCCUUUCGUUCUAUUUCUCUUCUGUUCUCAUUUUGUUGUCUUCUAUUUUCUGUUGCUUUGAUUGCUUGCAUGAUUUUUAGUGCUUUUAUCUAAAAAUUAAAAAAAAAUAAAAAAGAUAAAAAAUAAAAAAAUAUAUAUCUGUCUCAUGUAUCACUCACUGAGCUUGAAUUCAAAAGAAAAAGAAGUGAUGUAUUGCAUGAGAAAUUGAGUUUAUAUUUAAGAGUAGUCUUAUUUACUUAAAUGUGGUGGUAUUAUUUGUGAUUUUAAAUGCAUGACAUGAACAAUGCAUAUUUGAAUUUGAAUCAAAGGAUGUUGAUGUAUAAGGAAUAGAAAUUUAGAGAAUUAUUAUGACUUCUCUAAAACAAACAAAAAUUUAAUCCUGGAAGCAAAAGAAACAGCAAAAGAUAAAAAAACUAUAGAAACAAGGUCCAAGGCUCUGAGCAUCAAUGACUAGGGAGGUCAGACAUGAUUAAAAGCUCAAAGAAUUGUUUCCUUAGUCAUAUGCUUGUGGUGUGAUUGUGUCAAGUAAUUCUUGAGACAGAACACUUAGAGUCGAGACCAAGUGUGUUUAACAGAGUAUGCCAAAGGUUUUGAGCACCAUUGUCUGGGAGUAACUGAAAGAAAAAUCAGAACUUAAAGAGAGUCCUCCAGUUAAGUGCUUGUGGUGUUUCUGUGUCAAGUAACCCUUGAGACAAAAUAUUUAAAGUCACGGCUAGGCUCAAGGUGCAAAGCACUAAAGAAAAAUAAAUUAAAGUAAAUUUUGCUGUGUUCAAGGAUUAAGCGGGAGUAUAAAGAUCAGAGAAUUCAUAAUAUGAUCCGGAUUCUAAUUCCGAAUGACACUGACGACCCUCUGAUUCAAAGGAGAGUGAGAUGCCAAAACUGUUCAAAAUUACAAUGAAUAAACCCCAUUUCAAGAAUAGACUUGAGCUUAAGUAAA
This is a long non-coding RNA of Arachis duranensis, 3730 nucleotides long. RefSeq lists it as uncharacterized. The record is from RefSeq and is a predicted model, not a curated record. The transcript has 6 exons. Lineage: Eukaryota; Viridiplantae; Streptophyta; Magnoliopsida; Fabales; Fabaceae.